RNAcentral lists this ribosomal RNA (486 nucleotides) under uncultured bacterium. Its description in RNAcentral is "partial 16S ribosomal RNA". It matches the Rfam family "Bacterial small subunit ribosomal RNA", at positions 30 to 507 of the family's 1533-position model. The record is from RNAcentral.
AUUGAACGCUGGCGGCAUGCCUUACACAUGCAAGUCGAACGGCAGCACGGGUUCUUGCACCUGGUGGCGAGUGGCGAACGGGUGAGUAAUACAUCUGAACAUUUCCUGUAGUGGUGGAUAGCCCGGCGAAAGCCGGAUUAAUACCGCAUACGAUCUACGGAUGAAAGCGGGGGACCUUCGGGCCUCGCGCUAUAGGGUUGGCCUAUGGCUGAUUAGCUAGUUGGUGGGGUAAAGGCCUACCAAGGCGACGAUCAGUAGCUGGUCUGAGAGGACGACCAGUAAAAAUGGGACUGAGACACGGACAAGACUCCUACGGGAGGCAGCAGUGGGGAAUUUUGGACAAUGGGCGAAAGCCUGAUACAGCAAUGCCGAGUGUGUGAAGAAGGCCUUCGGGUUGUAAAGCACUUUUGUCCGGAAAGAAAUACUUGGCCCUAAUACGGUCGGGGGAUGACGGUACCGGAAGAAUAAGCACCGGCUAACUACGUG